GCAGAAACCAGUUCAUCCCUCCCUUGCCCUCCACCUCGCACCCAUCAAGUGAUGCAAAGGAAAUAUCUACAAGUUCCUGGGUUUCCCUGCCAGGUAAUCACACUUCUUUGUCCUGACCAGGACCUACUCCAUUCCUGGAUGGUCUGCUAUUGUCCAUGGGACGACUACCUGUCUGGCAGGUGAUUAUCUCUUGUUCAAGAGGCUGCUGAGUACAAGAUCUCAGGUUUCAAGGAUUAUGGCUGUCUUGUUUCCCAAAUUCCCCCUUUGGGAGCCAUUUGUUCCCUGAGUAAAAUGAAGUUGGAAUGGUGUCGAUCUGACAUAGGGCUGAUUUUAUAUGAAGGUUUUGCUGCAUAAGGGAAGGUGAGUACUAUGUAAGGUAAAAAGGUAAAGGACCCCUGGACGUUUAAGUCCAGUCAAAGGCGACUAUGGGGUUGCAGCGCUCAUCCCUCUUUCAGGCCAAGGGAGCUGGCGUUUGUCCACAGACAGCUGUUGUAAGAAAAAAACUGCUCCUUUCCCCUUAUGGGGUACCCAAGAGCCCAUAUAGAGUCCUUAAGUGGGUUCCCUAUCGGUAAGAGAAAAUAACAGAGGCCAGCCAGAGAAUAUUGAGAAGCAAAGCAGCUAGUAAGCCUCAUCUUUAUUAACUGUGGCAACAGGGUGCUCACUGCCACACGCAGGAGGGACCCCAAAAAUGGUGCGCAAGCCCUUAUAUAGGCAUUUGAAAUUGCCCAGCCUGGAGCCCACGACCCCCCCCCCAAUAUAUCAUACAUACAUCACAGAAGAGGCCGACUACAGCAAAAAUCCUGUCUGCUAGGGUACCUCAAAAAUGACCACGGAUUGCAUCACUUGGGCCGUCUGGCGAUUCUUUUGUGAUGGUAAAUACUUAAUUCCUGUGUCCAGGUCACAGGCUCACUCUAUUCAGACACAGAUACCCCUCAAGACAGGAUUUGUGAGCACAGAGACAAGGGGGAGGUUUUCUCAUUUCCUUUGUUCUUUCAGAGAAACAUUUGAAGUCAGUUGGGGAGAGACAAAAUGGUUUCAGGACUUUUCCCGUACUGAUACUGUGGUGGUUUAUAGGUGUAUGUAUGUGUCUGCCUGGUACAUUUAUGAACAUUUAUUUUAUAUCUUAGACCUUAUAAUUCUCAUAACGCAGCUUUCCAGGUCAUGUGGCCAGCAGGACUAAACCGCUUCUGGUGCAACGGGACACCAUGACGGAAGCCAGAGCGCAUGGAACUUGACCUUCCCGUCACAGUGGUACCUAUUUAUCUACUCGCUUUCAAACUGCUAGGUUGGUG
This is a non-coding RNA of Podarcis lilfordi (Lilford's wall lizard), 1292 nucleotides long. The record is from the annotation of a GenBank genome assembly. NCBI's taxonomy places the organism in Eukaryota, Metazoa, Chordata, Lepidosauria, Squamata, Lacertidae.